RNAcentral lists this ribosomal RNA (253 nucleotides) under uncultured bacterium. Its description in RNAcentral is "partial 16S ribosomal RNA". It matches the Rfam family "Bacterial small subunit ribosomal RNA", at positions 524 to 776 of the family's 1533-position model. The record is from RNAcentral.
UACGUAGGGGGCAAGCGUUGUCCGGAUUUAUUGGGCGUAAAGAGCGUGUAGGCGGCCUUACAGGUCAGCUGUGAAAACUCGAGGCUCAACCUCGAGACGUCGGUUGAAACCGUAUGGCUAGAGUCCGGAAGAGGAGAGUGGAAUUCCUGGUGUAGCGGUGAAAUGCGCAGAUAUCAGGAGGAACACCCGUGGCGAAAGCGGCUCUCUGGGACGGUACUGACGCUGAGACGCGAAAGCGUGGGGAGCAAACAGG